Long non-coding RNA from Fundulus heteroclitus (mummichog), 631 nucleotides. RefSeq lists it as uncharacterized. The transcript has 3 exons. The record is from RefSeq and is a predicted model, not a curated record. NCBI's taxonomy places the organism in Eukaryota, Metazoa, Chordata, Actinopteri, Cyprinodontiformes, Fundulidae.
GAACAGGAGCCGCGGCGCGCGUCGGUUGUUUGUGUAUGUUGAGAGAGCACAGUGGGCGGGACAGGCUGAGCCUGCGUGCUGAUUGGCUGGCGCCGCUGAGCCAUGUACGAGAGGGGAGGGGGAGCAGCAGCCAGCAGAGUGCCCGCCCCCCGUGACACAGAAGGGGAGACUGGUGAAUCUGCUGCAGUCAGCGCGCGCGGGAGAGAAUAAAAAGGAUCGAUCCUGUUAAAAGAAUAUUAUUCAAUAUCAAUACCCGCGUUGGUAUCGAUAGUAUCGAUCCACCCACCUCUAUUAUAAAGUCGAACGGGGCUUUGUCGGGACUCAGAAGCAAAGUUGGGAAACAAAAAGAGGUUGCUUUCCAAAGAACAUAAGUACACCCCUUUCAGUGUUGCAUCUCUUUAAAUGUCACUUUCUGGUGAACGUGCAUUGGUGGGGGCCUGAGUCCUGUGUUUCUUUUUGCUGUUGGAAAUCUCUGUUAUAGGUAAAGCUGUAAAAACAAAUGGAGGAAAAUGUGCACAUACAAGCGGGAGACAAAGUCUCUUUAAGCUGCCCGGUCACUGAAUAUAAAAAACGUUGCAAAGGCAACUUCAACAAAGUCCUCUCUGAGGAUGAGAGCAACUUCCCUACCCUC